This is a long non-coding RNA of Oncorhynchus keta (chum salmon), 409 nucleotides long. RefSeq lists it as uncharacterized. The transcript has 4 exons. NCBI's taxonomy places the organism in Eukaryota, Metazoa, Chordata, Actinopteri, Salmoniformes, Salmonidae. The record is from RefSeq and is a predicted model, not a curated record.
AUUCCUGAAAUGUAAUUCCCUCCCUAUUUCCAGUCACCUGGCCCAGAACCCGUUUAUCUGUGACUGUAACCUGAAGUGGCUGGCAGACUACCUUCGCUCCAACCCAAUAGAGACCAGCGGUGCACGCUGUGCCAGCCCCAGACGACUGGCCAACAAACGCAUCGGGCAGAUCAAGAGCAAGAAGUUCCGCUGCUCUGCCAAGGAACAAUACUUCAUCCCUGGCACCGAGGACGUCCGUUUGAAUAAUGAGUGUAACAGUGAUCCAGUCUGUCCUCCUAAAUGCCGCUGUGAGUCCAACGUGGUGGACUGCUCCAACCUACGCCUCAAUAAGAUACCAGAACACAUCCCUUCCUCUACCACUGAACUUCGUCUGAACAACAAUGAUAUCAGCACACUGGAGGCUGUAGGG